Molecule: long non-coding RNA, 96 nt
Organism: Nomascus leucogenys (northern white-cheeked gibbon)
Lineage: Eukaryota; Metazoa; Chordata; Mammalia; Primates; Hylobatidae
Exons: 3
Source: RefSeq, a predicted model, not a curated record
AAAGAGAUGAGGGCAAAAAGUUUAUCCAAACAGAUAAUAACAGAGAUCUUCCCAAACCUAAUGAAAAAUAUCAAUAUGCAAGUACAAGAAGGUUAU